This 100-nucleotide signal recognition particle RNA is filed under the name Candidatus Fermentibacterota bacterium. RNAcentral's name for it is "signal recognition particle sRNA small type". It matches the Rfam family "Bacterial small signal recognition particle RNA". Rfam says of the family: The signal recognition particle (SRP) is a universally conserved ribonucleoprotein involved in the co-translational targeting of proteins to membranes. Archaeal SRP consists of a 7S RNA and homologues of the eukaryotic SRP19 and SRP54 proteins. Lineage: Bacteria; Pseudomonadati; Candidatus Fermentibacterota. The record is from RNAcentral.
CUCCGGAACCCGCGCGGCGACAGCCUGCGAACCCCGUCAGGACCGAGAGGUAGCAGCGGUAAGCAGUGACUGCCGCGCGACGCGGCAAGUUCCGGAGACU